This 90-nucleotide transfer RNA is filed under the name Bacillota bacterium. RNAcentral's name for it is "tRNA-Ser". It matches the Rfam family "tRNA". From Rfam's summary of the family: Transfer RNA (tRNA) molecules are approximately 80 nucleotides in length. Their secondary structure includes four short double-helical elements and three loops (D, anti-codon, and T loops). The record is from RNAcentral. Lineage: Bacteria; Bacillati; Bacillota. RNAcentral also lists the same sequence under 1 other name.
GGAAGGGUGCUGGAGCGGCCGAACAGGCACGCCUGGAGAGCGUGUGAGGUCUUACGGCCUCCGAGGGUUCAAAUCCCUCCCCUUCCGCCA